Molecule: transfer RNA, 67 nt
Filed under: Marmota monax (woodchuck)
Lineage: Eukaryota; Metazoa; Chordata; Mammalia; Rodentia; Sciuridae
Description: tRNA.Val
Source: RNAcentral
GGUUUUGGCUCAGUGGUAGAGUGCUUGCCUCACAUGUGUGAGGCACUCAGUUCAAUCCUCAGCACCA